This 602-nucleotide ribosomal RNA is filed under the name Scudderia furcata furcata. RNAcentral describes it as "partial 12S ribosomal RNA". The record is from RNAcentral. Lineage: Eukaryota; Metazoa; Arthropoda; Insecta; Orthoptera; Tettigoniidae.
GUAGGAUAGAAAUAAGUUUUAUUAGUUGAGAGUUAAUCUAUGAUUUAAUUAAAAUAUUUAUUGGUUAAUUAGGUAGAAUUUAAUAAUUUGAGUUUUUUUAAGUUAAGUAGAUGAAGCUUUGAACAUUGAUUGUUAGACUAGGAUUAGAUACCCUAUUAUUUCAAUUGUAAAUUAUAAAGGCUUGAGUAGUAUUAGUUAAGUUCUUGAAACUCAAAGAAUUUGGCGGUGUUUUAGUCUUUUCAGAGGAAUCUGUCCUGUAAUCGAUACCACACGUUAAAAGUAACUUAAUUUUGUAAUAGCAGCUUGUAUACCGCCGUCAUAAGAAUAUCUUUUUAGAGAUUCAAUAUUCAGGAUGUUUAUUUAAAGAAUAUGUCAGGUCAAGGUGCAGCUUAUGAUUAAGAAGAGAUGGAUUACAAUAAAUUUAUUUAUUACGGAUCAAAAAUGAAAUUUUGGCAUGAAGGUGGAUUUGGAAGUAAUAUUGUCAUAUAAUGGUGAUAUGAUUAAAGCGCUGAAACAUGCACACAUCGCCCGUCACUCUCAUUAUUAAGGUGAGAUAAGUCGUAACAUAGUAGGUGUACUGGAAGGUGUCCCUAGGAAGCCAA